Molecule: ribosomal RNA, 374 nt
Filed under: uncultured bacterium
Lineage: Bacteria
Description: bacterial SSU rRNA
Rfam family: Bacterial small subunit ribosomal RNA
Source: RNAcentral
UACGAAGGGGGCUAGCGUUGUUCGGAAUUACUGGGCGUAAAGCGCACGUAGGCGGAUCGGUCAGUUAGGGGUGAAAUCCCAGGGCUCAACCCUGGAACUGCCUUUAAUACUGCCGGUCUGGAGUUCGAGAGAGGUGAGUGGAAUUCCGAGUGUAGAGGUGAAAUUCGUAGAUAUUCGGAGGAACACCAGUGGCGAAGGCGGCUCACUGGCUCGAUACUGACGCUGAGGUGCGAAAGCGUGGGGAGCAAACAGGAGUAGAUACCCUGGUAGUCCACGCCGUAAACUAUGAGAGCUAGCCGUCGGCAAGUUUACUUGUCGGUGGCGCAGCUAACGCAUUAAGCUCUCCGCCUGGGGAGUACGGUCGCAAGAUUAAA